Molecule: long non-coding RNA, 1594 nt
Organism: Anopheles funestus (African malaria mosquito)
Lineage: Eukaryota; Metazoa; Arthropoda; Insecta; Diptera; Culicidae
Exons: 6
Source: RefSeq, a predicted model, not a curated record
CAUAUUUGAAUAGAUCUGGUCAUUAGCUACCAAAAGUUAUUCUACGCCGAUGUGCUAAGUUGUCUGUGGAAAAAGUUAUUCGAGGUACAAAGACUUAACAUUUUCUCAACUUUUCCAAAAAAAUUCCUCAUUUUGCCACUUUGGAUGCUUAUUACUCGGUCAGUUUCCAAUGGAUCUUCAAUUGUAGCACAUAUUUAGAUAGAUCUGGUCAUUAGCUACCAAAAGUUAUUCUACGCCGAUGUGCUAAGUUGUCUGUGGAAAAAGUUAUUCGAGGUACAAAGACUUAACAUUUUCUCAACUUUUCCAAAAAAAAUCCUCAUUUUGCCACUUUGGAUGCUUAUAACUCGGUCAGUUUCCAAUGGAUCUUCAAUUGUAGCACAUAUUUGGAUAGAUCUGGUCAUUAGCUACCAAAAGUUAUUCUACGCCGAUGUGCUAAGUUGUCUGUGGAAAAAGUUAUUCGAGGUACAAAGACUUAACAUUUUCUCAACUUUUCCAAAAAAAAAUUCCUCAUUUUGCCACUUUGGAUGCUUAUAACUCGGUCAGUUUCCAAUGGAUCUUCAAUUGUAACACAGAUUUGGAAAGAUCUGCUCAUCAGCUACCAAAAGUUAUUCUACGCCGAUGUGCUAAGUUGUCUGUGGAAAAAGUUAUUCGAGGUACAAAGACUUAACAUUUUCUCAACUUUUCCAAAAAAAUUCCUCAUUUUGCCACUUUGGAUGCUUAUAACUCGGUCAGUUUCCAAUGGAUCUUCAAUUGUAGCACAUAUUUGGAUAGAUCUGGUCAUUAGCUACCAAAAGUUAUUCUACGCCGAUGUGCUAAGUUGUCUGUGGAAAAAGUUAUUAGAGGUACAAAGACUUAAAAUUUUCUGAAUUUUUCCUAAAAAAUUCCUCAUUUUGCCACUUUGGAUGCUUAUAACUCGGUCAGUUUCCAAUGGAUCUUCAAUUGUAGCACAUAUUUGAAUAGAUCUGGUCAUUAGCUACCAAAAGUUAUUCUACGCCGAUGUGCUAAGUUGUCUGUGGAAAAAGUUAUUCGAGGUACAAAGACUUAACAUUUUCUCAACUUUUCCAAAAAAAUUCCUCAUUUUGCCACUUUGGAUGCUUAUAACUCGGUCAGUUUCCAAUGGAUCUUCAAUUGUAGCACAUAUUUAGAUAGAUCUGGUCAUUAGCUACCAAAAGUUAUUCUACGCCGAUGUGCUAAGUUGUUUGUGGAAAAAGUUAUUCGAGGUACAAAGACUUAACAUUUUCUCAACUUUUCCAAAAAAAAUUCCUCAUUUUGCCACUUUGGAUGCUUAUAACUCGGUCAGUUUCCAAUGGAUCUUCAAUUGUAGCACAUAUUUAGAUAGAUCUGGUCAUUAGCUACCAAAAGUUAUUCUACGCCGAUGUGCUAAGUUGUUUGUGGAAAAAGUUAUUCGAGGUACAAAGACUUAACAUUUUCUCAAUUUUUCUAAAAAAAUUCCUCAUUUUGCCACUUUGGAUGCUUAUAACUCGGUCAGUUUCCAAUGGAUCUUCAAUUGUAGCACAUAUUUGGAUAGAUCUGGUCAUUAGCUACCAAAAGUUAUUCUACGCCGAUGUGCUAAGUUGUCUGCGGAAAAAGUUAU